AUUGAACGCUGGCGGCAGGCCUAACACAUGCAAGUCGAGCGGAUGAAGGGAGCUUGCUCCUGGAUUCAGCGGCGGACGGGUGAGUAAUGCCUAGGAAUCUGCCUGGUAGUGGGGGAUAACGUCCGGAAACGGGCGCUAAUACCGCAUCCGUCCUGAGGUAGAAAGUGGGGGAUCUUCGGACCUCACGCUAUCAGAUGAGCCUAGGUCGGAUUAGCUAGUUGGUGGGGUAAAGGCCUACCAAGGCGACGAUCCGUAACUGGUCUGAGAGGAUGAUCAGUCACACUGGAACUGAGACACGGUCCAGACUCCUACGGGAGGCAGCAGUGGGGAAUAUUGGACAAUGGGCGAAAGCCUGAUCCAGCCAUGCCGCGUGUGUGAAGAAGGUCUUCGGAUUGUAAAGCACUUUAAGUUGGGAGGAAGGGCAGUAAGUUAAUACCUUGCUGUUUUGACGUUACCAACAGAAUAAGCACCGGCUAACUUCGUG
This 484-nucleotide ribosomal RNA is filed under the name uncultured bacterium. RNAcentral's name for it is "partial 16S ribosomal RNA". It matches the Rfam family "Bacterial small subunit ribosomal RNA", at positions 30 to 507 of the family's 1533-position model. The record is from RNAcentral.